CAGGAAAUUAUGUCACUUCCUCGGCAGGAAAAACAACUGUGGUUAGCCUGGCAACGCCAGCAAGGAGAACGCAUUAGAAAAAAACACACAGAAGACUCCAAAAAGAGAGAGAGCAUUUAAAAUCAGAAGUGGCAAAGGAGAGGGGAAAAAAAGAAAAAAUACAGGAAUAGGUAUGCAAGGAUUAGGGGAGAACGGGCAUCUGUAUCUCCUCAUUCAACAGUCAAAGCAUUGCAGAGACGUCAGAAUGUGACAUCACCUAUUAACAGGGCUCUCCUCUUUCACACAUCUCUCAUUAAAGAUAUCAAAACAAAAUACAAAAAUGCAAGGAAUCAGAAGAACAAGCAAAUCAUUGCGAAAGUGACCUCUGUGAAUACACUGAAGAAGUAUAAACUUCAGAAGACGGUGUUGGGCUUUUCAAAUAAUGAGAGCGAAGUUGGAAAGGGACCUGUGCUCUUUUUUGAUGAGGAAGGGAAGCAGAACAGAAACAGAAAUAAAAAGGAAAGUGAAGGAUUUUUUUCUCAGUGAUGAUGUAAGUAGUAUAACGACCGGCCGCAAACAAACCAUGACACGACUAAAGAACAAAAUGCACAAGAGGCUUCUGACUGACAAUGAAAAAAUCUACACAGAAAUGUCCUGCCUGAGGAACUAGGUCAGUUGUCCAAUACCUCCUUCUGCCACCUCAGGCCAUUUUGGGUUGUUACGCCUAAUGACACUGAUCGUGAAACUUGUCAGUGCAAAACCCAUGAGAAUUUACAGUUCAUGGCAAAUUCUCUUCACAGUCUUGGGCUUUUGUCCACCAAAAACCUUGAGGACAUGGUCAACUCAAGUAUGUGUGACCUGAAAUCGAAGCUAUGUGCUUAUGGUGAAUGUAAUGAUUGCUUCCUCACCACUCAUCCAACUCUGAAACCUCCUGGGAAUGUAGAAGUUCCUCUGACACAAUGGACCUUGGAGAAGAUCCAAAAAAGACGAAGAGAAGUGCUCCAUGAUAAUCGGGAAGAGGGAGGUCACAAUAACAGAAACUGAACUGGUCAGUCAGUUUCAAGAUAGGCUCGCUAAGUUUUAGGCAACACAUCUUUAAUAUCAAGUGACAAUACAAGGCCUAUAGGGAGCUUAGGGAGAGUCUGAAGAACAAUGAGUGCUAGCUGCACAUUAACUUCAGCAAAAACUAUUCAUGCAAAUACAGUCAAGAGAUCCAGUUCUUGCAUUUUGGGGGAUCUCACCAGCAAGCCACUCUCCACACUGGAGUGAUCUACACUGCUGCAGACCAUCCACCAAUUGCUUUUUGCUCCAUUUCACCAUCACAGAGACAUGAUCCACCUGCCAUUUGGGAACACCUUGAUCCGGUUCUUGCCAUGUUUAAGCAGAAGUACCCUGAAGUCAGCUUCAUUUCUUUACUGGGGGGCCGGCUACACAAUACAAGUAGAAAGGGAACUUCUACCUACUUGCCACAGAACCACACAAACAAGGCUUUCAAGAGGUCAACUGGAAUUUCUUUGAGGCCAGCCACGGCAAGCGGGCACCAGAUGGUAUUGGAGAUGCUCUCAAGAGAUCUGCAGAUAGAGCAGUGCACCAUUGAAAUGAUAUCCCAGAUACACAGGCCCUGUACAAUGUCCUAAAAGGUCUUAACUCCUCUGUAGAGAUGUUCUUCAUUACUGAGAGUGAUGUUGAGGCAAGAGCAGAGGUAACCCUCCUUCCUCCCCAUACACACAUACAGUACAUACAUUGAGUAUUGGUUGAGUAUUGAAAUGUUUAAGGUGUUUGUUACUCUUUAUAUCUUAUCAUAUGCUAACAUAACAUUAAGGUGAACUGAAUGACAUCAACAAAUUCUUCUGGCCAAGUACAAAGGAAGAUAUUUUGAUGGACAGAUAAUUUGUCUGAUGCCGGAGCCACUGCCUGUCAAUAAACACUCUUUGCAGAGGGAAAACUCCACCUGGAAGUAUGUGGAAGAGCAUUUGGGGUGAAAGGGGAGAGCGAGGGAUAGAGGAAGAGCGGGACAGGAAUGUGUUUUAAUGCUAAUUCCAAUGAUUUUGCACCUGCAAUGUAUUUUUGUCUUGUUGUUUUUCACAAUGAAUAUAUAACUAAAUAGCAGUUCCAAUGUUGUUACUACAUGUAUUACUAUGUAGAUAUCUCCUCAGUGUUCAGUAUUCAGGUUUCAGGGUUUAAUUUAUGUUCUGUCCCGUUAUAGUUGUCCACCCUGUUAUCUUGGCAUCUUUUUCAAAUGAAUUCAGUUACAUUGUCAAAUAUCAAGAAUUUGUGUAAUGUAUUUUAAAGGGUAAGACAUGGCCGACACCAGAGAAUUAUAAACCUGGAUAAAAUAUAAUUGAUACUUGUCUCAAUUUAGAAAGAUAAGGUGUAAAUUAGAUGAAGUUCAGUAUAAAACCACACAUUGUAUACAACAUCUGUUAUUUCUUUAUAAUUUGACCAGAACAAAUGAACAGGGUUGACAAGGGGACACAAUAGCUUUAUGAAAACGUAAAUAUGAUUAAAAUAGUCCAAUGAAAGUAAUUAAAGACAGGUAAGUGCAUGUCUGUAACAGGGUGGGCAUAUCUUAUGGCUGAUUCACUGAAAAUGGGUUUGUAAUGAUCUAACUCUUAAGUGCUGGAGCUUGGCCAACAUGUUUUUCUAAAAGUCUAAUAUUUUAUUUUUUAUAGUAAAUCACAAAAGGAAUACAAAUUCUGAAAUAAAAAUGUAAAAUGUUGCGUGUUCCAAAUGUUUUGUGAUAUUGACCCUUGUGUCUGUCUGUGUGGUGAGCACAUGGCAUUAAUAUUGUCUGUUCAAUGUCUCAUAAAGCUGUGAUUGAGAAUAGCCUAG
Molecule: non-coding RNA, 2811 nt
Organism: Oncorhynchus mykiss (rainbow trout)
Lineage: Eukaryota; Metazoa; Chordata; Actinopteri; Salmoniformes; Salmonidae
Source: RefSeq, a predicted model, not a curated record